GCUUUAAUAAUGGGCACAGUUACCCUGUUCAUAAACUUGCUGUGGGGCCUAGUAAUUUCUAGUUGUGCCACUGGAUGUAAGCCAUGAACAGAAUGAAUAGAGGGAGAGAUUUAUCAUUUGCCUUGUUUCUGAAAUGUGGCAUUAAAAAGUUG
Bufo bufo (common toad) is the source of this 152-nucleotide long non-coding RNA. RefSeq lists it as uncharacterized. The transcript is spliced from 3 exons. NCBI's taxonomy places the organism in Eukaryota, Metazoa, Chordata, Amphibia, Anura, Bufonidae. The record is from RefSeq and is a predicted model, not a curated record.